This 267-nucleotide ribosomal RNA is filed under the name unidentified marine bacterioplankton. Its description in RNAcentral is "partial 16S ribosomal RNA". It matches the Rfam family "Bacterial small subunit ribosomal RNA", at positions 70 to 339 of the family's 1533-position model. The record is from RNAcentral.
AGGAAUUAGCUUGCUAAUUUGCUGAUGAGUGGCGCACGGGUGCGUAACGCGUAUACAAUCUACCUUUUGCUGAGGGAUAGCCCAGAGAAAUUUGGAUUAAUACCUCAUGGUAUUAUUGAUAGGCAUCUAUUAUAUAAAGGUUACGGCAAAAGAUGAGUAUGCGUCCCAUUAGCUAGUUGGUGAAGUAACGGUUCACCAAGGCAACGAUGGGUAGGGGUCCUGAGAGGGAGAUCCCCCACACUGGUACUGAGACACGGACCAGACUCC